GUGGAUAUAGUUUAAGUAAAACGCUAGAUCGUGAUCCUAGCAACAAGGGUUAGAAUCCCCUUAUCUACC
Molecule: transfer RNA, 69 nt
Filed under: Protosalanx chinensis
Lineage: Eukaryota; Metazoa; Chordata; Actinopteri; Osmeriformes; Salangidae
Also listed under: 3 other names
Description: tRNA-His
Rfam family: tRNA
About the family: Transfer RNA (tRNA) molecules are approximately 80 nucleotides in length. Their secondary structure includes four short double-helical elements and three loops (D, anti-codon, and T loops). Further hydrogen bonds mediate the characteristic L-shaped molecular structure. tRNAs have two regions of fundamental functional importance: the anti-codon, which is responsible for specific mRNA codon recognition, and the 3' end, to which the tRNAs corresponding amino acid is attached (by aminoacyl-tRNA synthetases). tRNAs cope with the degeneracy of the genetic code in two manners: having more than one tRNA (with a specific anti-codon) for a particular amino acid; and 'wobble' base-pairing, i.e. permitting non-standard base-pairing at the 3rd anti-codon position.
Source: RNAcentral